RNAcentral lists this transfer RNA (84 nucleotides) under Phycisphaerae bacterium. RNAcentral's name for it is "tRNA-Leu". It matches the Rfam family "tRNA". From Rfam's summary of the family: Transfer RNA (tRNA) molecules are approximately 80 nucleotides in length. Their secondary structure includes four short double-helical elements and three loops (D, anti-codon, and T loops). Further hydrogen bonds mediate the characteristic L-shaped molecular structure. tRNAs have two regions of fundamental functional importance: the anti-codon, which is responsible for specific mRNA codon recognition, and the 3' end, to which the tRNAs corresponding amino acid is attached (by aminoacyl-tRNA synthetases). tRNAs cope with the degeneracy of the genetic code in two manners: having more than one tRNA (with a specific anti-codon) for a particular amino acid; and 'wobble' base-pairing, i.e. permitting non-standard base-pairing at the 3rd anti-codon position. The record is from RNAcentral. Lineage: Bacteria; Pseudomonadati; Planctomycetota; Phycisphaerae.
GCGGAUGUGGCGGAAUUGGUAGACGCGCAGGCUUCAGGUGCCUGUGGGCUUAUGCUCGUGGAGGUUCGACUCCUCUCAUCCGCA